GCCCGGGUGCUGGAACGGUAGACAGGGGGCCCUUAAAAGGUUGCUGUCCGUAAGCGGACGUGCGGGUUCGAAUCCCGCCCCGGGCA
This 86-nucleotide transfer RNA is filed under the name Actinomycetota bacterium. RNAcentral's name for it is "tRNA-Leu". It matches the Rfam family "tRNA". From Rfam's summary of the family: Transfer RNA (tRNA) molecules are approximately 80 nucleotides in length. Lineage: Bacteria; Bacillati; Actinomycetota. The record is from RNAcentral.